This is a long non-coding RNA of Acanthopagrus latus (yellowfin seabream), 1807 nucleotides long. RefSeq lists it as uncharacterized. Lineage: Eukaryota; Metazoa; Chordata; Actinopteri; Spariformes; Sparidae. The record is from RefSeq and is a predicted model, not a curated record. The transcript has 2 exons.
GCGUAACGUAAUAAUUAUACAAUGUUUAGAUUACGACAGUGAUAUAUAAUUAUCAGACACGUAUUAAAAUAACAAUGUUAUGUACUACUAUUUGGGGCAGCGAUAACAGAAAUAAGAGAACCUACAGGCGCCUCUGGAAUACGGGUAAUCCGAAAUUAAGAAGAAGUGAAGCGAAGAAAAGCAUCAUAGUAUUAAUAUUGACAGCAAGAUAAUAUAAAGUUGGUGAUUUAAAUUUUUCUCGCUCUGAUUACAGAUUUAUAUCCCUAAGUAACCUAUAUUUGUCUGUGUUGGUCCAUGAGAAUAGUUGGUUAUCUAGCACCACCUGCUGGUGAAAGUAGAUAUGACAAGUAACAGGUGCACCGUCCCCGUAUAAUUUACUUAAAGGCCUAGUCAAUAGGUCUUCUAAUGUAGGCUAUUCCCGUGAUCGUUUUAGUGUUUCAAAACAGACCAAUCUGGAGCCACUGUAGGGUCGAUAUCCGAUUAGUGAAACCACAUGUCAACUAGGCCUGAGUGUAGCUUACUUAGUAAUACUUUCCCAUCAAAUCAGUGUCAGUUUACUGUGGCAUAAUAUGUUUCUAUUUCUACAGUAAUCUGUUUGUAGAGCAGGUCGGCUAGUGAUUGGAAGGUCACUGGUUCAAAUCCCAGCUCCGGGCAGAGCUGAGCUGCAUGUGGAAGUGUCCUUGUCCAUUACAGACGAUGGCUGGAUGGAUGGAAGAGAAACAGAUAAAUCUGGUCUCUCUGUGGUUGGUACAAACUGGCAUCGUGCACGGAGGGCCCAGGACAGGAAGGCUCUACAGUGGUUGAUUAAAACCGCCCACAACAUCAUUGGUGCCCAUCUACAGAGCAUCAGUGACGUCGGAGAAGUGAAGUCUCUGCACAGAGCCCAAAGGGUGCAAAAAGACAACACCCGCCCUAGCCAGAGUCUGUUCACCCUGCUGCCAUCUAACAAAAGAUACAGAAGUAUCUGCUGCCAUGCCACCAGACUGUGGAGGAGCUUCUUUCCCCGGGCUGUGAGAAUCCUCAAUUCAUCAUCAACACUCUAUUGUCUAAAACAGAUGAACUUAAAUGACUCAAACACUGUUUUGUUUUUUAAAUCCUGAAGAUAAAUGUACCUUGUACAUUGCUCUGCCAUCUUGCAUUCCUUUUUCUAAUCAUCCUCUGUCUGUGAUGGAUGUAUGUCUUAUAUGGUCAUUUACUGUUUCUUAGUGGUUCUUUUGUCUCUAUUUUGGUAAUUUUGCAAUCUUUUUUGUAAUCGCUCUCUGUGUGGAAUGGAUGAAUGUCUUUUUAUGGUUAUUUUGGGUUUCUUUGUAUUCAUUUUGUGUAUCUCUGCUAAUUUUUGUCACUUUAUGGUUGCUUUGUUCAUACUUUGGUCAUUUUGCACCCCUUUUUGUAAUCCACAUCUGUGUGUGAUGGUUUGUACUACUACUACUACUACUGCUGUACUACUACUCCUACUUGUGGUCACUUCUGUAUCUGUGCGGUGAGUUUGUGUCUCUUUGUGGACAUUUUAUGUUUUUGUUGCCAUUUUGAAUUACAUUUAAAUAUUUGUAAUCAGGUGAACUGUAGGCCUAAUCCUUUCAUUUACAUGUCAGCAUUCCUUUAACACCAAACAGGGAGUGGAUUUUCCACCAUACACACAUUUUUCAGUCAGUACCAUAGCCUAAAUUAUUGUGUCAGGAAGUUGGGGCACAGGUUCAAUCUGUAAAGCUUCCAUUUCUGGUACUUUACGGAAAAUGUUCAUCCUUAAGCACUUUGAGUCACCUUGUGUCUGAAUUGUGCAAUACAAAUAAACUUGUUCUGAAUCAGA